RNAcentral lists this long non-coding RNA (4680 nucleotides) under Homo sapiens (human). Its description in RNAcentral is "HSALNT0066550". Lineage: Eukaryota; Metazoa; Chordata; Mammalia; Primates; Hominidae. The record is from RNAcentral.
UAGAUCUACCACUGUUCAUGCGGGACCUGGCAUAAAGCAUUCCCACGUCUCGGCCUCCAUUUCCCCAUCUGUGAAACGAGAGCACUGGUCAGCUCUUCACAUGCAGCGUUUGUGGGAUGAAUCCUUCCAUCUGUCCAUCCAUCCCGCCAACAUCCAUGCACAAACAUUUAGCACCUGCUGCAUGCUGUCAGGGACUAUGGCAGGAAAAGAGUUGAAACAGACACGUCCCAGGCCUCCAGCCCCUCACACCACGGAGAGGAAACAGAUGCCCGCAAAGGAGGAGGCACCCCUCAGGGGGCCAGCGCUGCGACACGGUGGAGGCAGGGAGGCCGUCUCUAAGCAGCCUGCGAGUCCCCGCGCUGCACCGUGGCUUUGAGGAGUGGCGGGGGCCGAGGGGCCGGUCUCUCUUCCGGGGGAGAUUCCUCCCCUCACCCCGGCAUUACUCAGCGCCCUGAACUGUCUGCCUCCCUCCAGCCGGCCCUCCUCGUCUUCCUGGAGCGCAGCACAAAGGUCCUGUUGUGGCCGCGGCCCGGGCCGCGGGCGAGCCUCUCUGGAUGGUGGUGACUCAGUCUCUUGCCAUUUCCUUUGUGCGGCUCCGGGGCUCCUCGCUGGGAGCGGAGUGUGUCUGCAGGGCUGGGGGCGGGAGCCGGGACCCACAGCCCGACAGCGAGCCUUUCAUGUGGGCAGGGGGCUUCCCGCACGCAAUGCGAACCUACGCCUGGAGCUUCCCAAAGACAGCGUCCGGCGCAGGAACGCGAGAUGCUGGCCGCCUCGCCUCUGGCCCCCGCGAGCAUCAAAGCGCGUGCCGUCGAGGGGGCACGUGUCCCCCAUCGGGCGCGCCUCUGCUCCUAGUCCCCUGAAUGAACACAUCCUUAUGAAAAGUGGAAAUUAGCCGCCGAAGGGAAGGGCCCGGAGAGCUUGGGAAGCGACCUAGGCUGCCAGCCUCCCGGCGGGUCUUUGGUCCCAGCUCUGAUGACCUGUCAGCAGCCGCAGGACCUGCGCUUAAAGGCGCCUCUCCAGGCCUGGCUCAGGGUGGGGCUCCUCGUGCUCAGCACCCUGGUCAAGGUUAGGGCUGGGUGUGCGCUGGAGGCUUGGAGUGCCAGGGCACCCAGUGAAGAGCGAAUGAAUGAACGAGUGAACACCGGACUGGGGGCCUGCAGACGGUUCUUCGCAGGUUAAUUAGAAGGCCUCUAGCAAGCUGCAGCGGAGGCAUUUCAGGCAUCCUUCAGAGAGGACCCUCGGCCUGGCUCCUAAGGGCCCCUGGUCUGGCUCUCACCCCCUGCUCUGGUGGCAUUUCUGCUCACUCAGCCUUUACCCUUUACACGCCAGCCGCUCUGAACAGUUUAUUCUUCUGGGAGCACAUCAUGUUCUUGCUCACAUCCAGGUUUUGCGUAAGCUGUUCCUGCUGCAAGGAAAACCCUUCCUGUGUCCUCCUCAGGUGAGAGCUCCCGCAGGCAGCUUCUCCCCGGAGUCUGGCGUAAGUGUUCCUCCUCUGCACGCCUCUGAGGACAUUUGCAAAGGUCUGUCAUAGGGCUUACCACCCCGUUACCUGUUUGUUUCCACCAGGGAGUGCGCUGAAGCUGAGAGGGAAUGAGUGAGUGAAUGAAGGGCUUGAGAAAGGAAAUUUCUUCACCCUCCAGUGCCCUCUGGAUGGAAAGAAUCCCAAGAGACCAGUGAAGCAAGAAAUUAUCAAAGCUGCGGUAUUUACGAAGUCACUUUGUGCCAGUGCCCCAGCAAGCUGCCACCAUGGCUGCCAAGCCCUGUCACCCUUGCUGAUCAGUACAGAGAGGGGCUCGCUGCGCUGGGUAGAGGAAGCAGGAAGUUUGCUGAACUCAGACGGAAGAAAAAGGAUUCCUCUGGAGAAUCCCAGCAGGUUUCUGAUUGGACAUGGGUCCAUGUCCUUGUGAAGUCUCCUCCUCCUGAACCUGCCCUGCUCUGUGACUUGCUUUUGACCACCAGCAUGCUGCAGAAGUGAUGCCGUGUGACUUCUGAGUGGGUCAUAGGAAGCCUUGCAGUGUGGCCUGGGUCUUCAGGAAUGCUUGUUUGAGGAAAACCACUGUCAUGUAAGAAGUAUGGCUACCCUGAGACUGUCAUGGUGUGAGGACUCCUAAAUGAGUCACAUGUGGAUGGCCACCUAUUCAGGCCUCAGUUCUUCCAGCCAUUGCGACUGUGGCCCACGCAUGUGGGGGAAGAGGCCAUUUUUCACGCCCAUCCCAGUUGAGUCUUUAGAUGAUCCCUUCCUGGGCCUCCAGCUGACUGUAACCAGACUCCAGGCAGGAACCACAUAGGAACUGAACCCAGUCAACCCACAGGCUGGGGAGGAUGAUAGUCCAUUGUUGUAUAAAGCCACUGCAUUUGGAAUGGUCUGUUGUAUACUACCUAAUCAGAACAAGACUCAAUCCUUUCUUCAUAGCUGGUAGUCUUAAGCAUUUAUUAAUUCAUAUUUUAGUCACAUUAUGAAUUUUCUAUCACAAUAAGCAUUUAUUGAGCACUUUUUAUAGAGGGACUAUGCUAGGCUUGAAGAAUAAAAGACACAUAGGACACGGCCCUGCUUAUGUUCAGGUAGCUGUGGUCUAAACGAGGACGCACACAUAAGGUGAAGACCCCAUGAGAUGGAAUACACGGGGAUAACAAGCCUCACAGUGGACUGGUCGCUUUACCAGGGGUGAGGCGAUUCUGCCUAUAAGGUAGGGAAGGACUUUCUGAAAGGGUGACACUGAGUUCCACCUUGAAAAAUGCCUGAGAAUUCACCCAUAGACACAGUGGAAGAGGGGUGUUCCGAGGAAGGGAGAUCAAUGUGCAGAGAGACAGAAAUCCCGGUUCGCUUAUUCCCAACAAGGCAGAGAACAAACCUCUCCCAGUGAUGCCCUCCCUUGUUCCCGUCCCCAAUCUUUUGAUAAUAGUGGGAAGGGUUUCAAAGUGAGGGUUAAAAAUGGGCUGGUUUUGCCACCCCUUAGUAAGUCUUGGGCAGGAUUCUCAACUCUUGACACUCAUUAAAAUCACCUGGGAAGCUUUUGCAAAACUCCAGCAUGGUACAACUACUUUAGAAACUGGUGUUAUCCAUUAAAACUAAACAUUUGCUUAUCUUAGCAAUUCCACUCCUAGGUUUAUAGAGUAAACAGAAACACAUACGUGCCUGUGUCAAAAAACAUGUAUAGGCAUGUUCAAGACCACACUGUUUGGCCAAGUGCCCUAGUUCAUGCCUGUAAUCCCAGCAUCUUGGGAGGCCAAGGCGGGAGUAUUGCUUGAGGCCAGGAGUUUGAGACCAGCCUGGGCAUCAUAGUGAGACUCCCAUCUUGACACACACACAGUUUUUUUUUUUAAUUAGCUGGGUGUGGUGGCGUGCACCUGUAGUCCUAGCUACUUGGGAGGCUGAGGUGAUAGGAUCCCUUGAGCCCAGAAGUUCAAGGCUGAAAUGAGCUAUGAUUGUGUCACAGCACUCCAGUAUGGGCAACAGAGAGAUCCUAUGUCCAAAACAAAAACAAAAACAAAACAAAAAUACACACAUUAUUUGUAAGAUGUAAAAAAAGGGAACAAUCCAUGUGUAUCAAUAGAAUAGUUAUAUGCUGUGUAUGCGUAAUUAGUGUCUUAACCUGUUCAGGCUGCUGAAUACCUCAACUGGGUAAUUUACAAACAACAGAAUUUAUGGCUCAUGGUUCUAGAGGCUAGGUAGUCUAAGAUGCAAACGUCAACAGAUUUGAUGUCUGGUAAGGCCCUGUUCAUCAUAGAUGGCACCCUUUUGCUGUGUCCUCACAUGGCAAAAGGGACAAACAGGAUUUUUUCAAGCCUCUUUUAUGAGGGUACUAAUUCCAUUUAUGGGGGGAGAGCCUUUGUAACCCAUUCACUUCCUAAAGCCCCCACCACUUAAUACUAUUGGAGAUUAGAUUUCAAUAUAUGAAAUUUGGGUGGGACACAAACAUUCAUACCAUAGCGGGCAGACAAUGUAAUACUAUACAGCAAUGAAAAGAAAUGAACAACAGCGACCCAGAACAACAUGAAUGAACUUUUUUUUUUUUUUUGACAGAGUCUUGCUCUAUUGCCCAGGCUGGAAUGCAGUGACACAAUCUUGGCCCAACCUCCACCUCUUGGGUUCAAGCAAUUCUCCUGCCUCCGCCUUCCGAGUAGCUGGGAUUACAGGCACACGCCACCAUGCCCAGCCAAUUUUUGUAUUUCUAGUAGAGAUGGGGUUUUGCCACGUUGAUCAGGCUGGUCUUGAACUCCUGACCUCGGGUGAUCCGCCUGCCUCAGCCUCCCAAAGUGCUGGGAUUGCAGGCAUGAGCCACUGCGCCAGGCCCAUGAAUGAAUCUUAAAAAUAAAAUAGUGAAUCAAGGAAGUCAGACACAAAGAGUACAUACUCUACGGCUGCAUUUCUAUAAAUAUCAAAAAGAGGCAAAACAAAUGUGUGGUGUUAGAAAUCAGGAGAGUGUUACUAUCCUGGGGAGGAAGGAGAAGACCUGAAGGAACUUGAGGGGGGCUUUGGCCUGCUGGUAGAGCUUUUUUUUUUUUUGUCUCGAUCUAGGUGGUAGUUACAUACGGAUAUUCACGUUGUAAAAGUUUGCCAAGGCUUUAAUGUAAUUAUCUGAUGCAUAUUAUAAUUAAAAUGGAAAGUUUGUUUUAAAAGUACCAGUGCUUGGUCUCCACCCCUAUGGACUCUGGUUUUAUUGCUCUGGGAAGGAGCUC